Molecule: regulatory RNA element, 103 nt
Organism: Anaerobacillus arseniciselenatis
Lineage: Bacteria; Bacillati; Bacillota; Bacilli; Caryophanales; Bacillaceae
Rfam family: S10-Clostridia ribosomal protein leader
Source: Rfam
UGACAGCGAUGAUGUGGAAGGUUGCUGACACACCCGAGCCCGUUGCCAUGGUGAAGGUGAGGAAAUUUUCACGGAGUAUGUCUGUUUAUAAAAUGGACGAUAA